This 468-nucleotide ribosomal RNA is filed under the name uncultured bacterium. Its description in RNAcentral is "partial 16S ribosomal RNA". It matches the Rfam family "Bacterial small subunit ribosomal RNA", at positions 28 to 507 of the family's 1533-position model. The record is from RNAcentral.
GACGAACGCUGGCGGCGUGCUUAACACAUGCAAGUCGAACGGAAAGGCCCUGCUUUUGUGGGGUUCUCGAGUGGCGAACGGGUGAGUAACACGUGUGUAACCUGCCCUUGACUUUGGGAUAACUUCUGGAAACUGGGGCUAAUACCGGAUAGGAUCUCCUGCUGCAUGGUGUGGGUUGGAUAUUUUCGGCGGUUGGGGAUGGACUCGCGGCUUAUCAGCUUGUUUGUGGGGUAGUGGCUUACCAAGGGUUUGACGGGUAGCCGGCCUGUGAGGGUGACAGGGAAAAAUGGGACGGAGAUACGGACCAGAGGAGAACGGGAGGAAGCAGUGGGGAAAAUGGAAAAAUGGGAGGAAGCAUGAUGAAGAAACGCAGCGAGAGGGAUGACGGGCUUCGGGUUGUAAAAAGAAUGAGCCUGUGACGAAGAGAGAGUGACGGUAAUGGGUAAAGAAGCACCGGCUAACUACGUG